Molecule: ribosomal RNA, 702 nt
Filed under: Kribbella sp.
Lineage: Bacteria; Bacillati; Actinomycetota; Actinomycetes; Propionibacteriales; Kribbellaceae
Description: bacterial SSU rRNA
Rfam family: Bacterial small subunit ribosomal RNA
Source: RNAcentral
GUACACGAGCGGCGAACGGGUGAGUAACACGUGAGCAACCUACCCUCAACUUCGGGAUAAGCCUCGGAAACGGGGUCUAAUACCGGAUAUCACCCCUUUCCUCAUGGCUUGGGGUUGAAAGUUCUGGCGGUUGGGGAUGGGCUCGCGGCCUAUCAGCUUGUUGGUGGGGUAAUGGCCUACCAAGGCGUCGACGGGUAGCCGGCCUGAGAGGGCGACCGGCCACACUGGGACUGAGACACGGCCCAGACUCCUACGGGAGGCAGCAGUGGGGAAUAUUGCGCAAUGGACGAAAGUCUGACGCAGCAACGCCGCGUGAGGGAUGACGGCCUUCGGGUUGUAAACCUCUUUCAGCAGGGACGAAGCGAGAGUGACGGUACCUGCAGAAGAAGGACCGGCCAACUACGUGCCAGCAGCCGCGGUAAUACGUAGGGUCCGAGCGUUGUCCGGAAUUAUUGGGCGUAAAGGGCUCGUAGGCGGUUCGUCACGUCGGGAGUGAAAACUCGGAGCUCAACUCCGAGCCUGCUUCCGAUACGGGCAGACUAGAGGUAGGCAGGGGAGAGCGGAACUCCUGGUGUAGCGGUGGAAUGCGCAGAUAUCAGGAAGAACACCGGUGGCGAAGGCGGCUCUCUGGGCCUUACCUGACGCUGAGGAGCGAAAGCGUGGGUAGCGAACAGGAUUAGAUACCCUGGUAGUCCACGCCGU